GCAGAUGGCUGCCCGGAGGCCAGGUUUUCCUCCGGCCGAACCGUGGCCGGUGGCGCCGCGCGGGACCGAGAGGCGCCGGCCUGUGAUUGGCCGAGGCCCCUGUGAAUGCAGGACAUUGUCUGGUCGCGGUCGUCUCUGUCCCUGCCCGCCGCCCUUCCACAGAUCAAAAUGGGUGCGGAGCGAGGGCCCGGGCCAGCCCGGUCGCCGCCCGCUCCGGCGUCCCCUCGAUGGUGGGGACACCGUAGUGGGAAAACGUAACUUUUAGGAGAUCCUGGAAUCUGAUAAUGGCAUUAAGGUGCUAUUUCAAAAUACAAAAUCAUUCCCAAGGAAAUAAAACCAUUGUGUUUGACAUAAGGGCUUCCUUUAAGUUUAAAAAUAUCAAGAUAAUUGAGAAGGGCCAACGGUUAUAAAAACGGCUUAGUUUUGUCCAAGAUUCCUUUAGGAUCUGAGAAAAAUUCAUCUGAAUGUUCUUUAAGAAUUUUAAGCAAAAUUGAUGUGGAUAUCUACAUUUUGUAUUUUGAAAUAGCACCUUUAUGCCAUUAGCGGGGACAUAUAUGAAAUAACCUUGUUUUAGACUACUGCCUUAGUUUCCGCACGUGUGAAAAAGAUGGCCCUGCCCUGGUAGCUUUCCAAGUUUGCUUCCUUUGUUAAAAAAAACUCAUUCUGAGUCUAGACUUAAACUCCCGAUCCAUCCUAUGUAUUGGAUCAUAUCUCAAGGCCUUGAAAUAGAUGAGACCUUUUAAAGAGCUCUUGAGGACAUUGUAGUUCUCCUCAGAUGGUCUUUGAAAAUGUGUGGCAGUUAUUCAAGCGGAGUUGUAAUCUUUUACUGUGUAAUUUUGGAGUAAAGGAAAAUGAGAGCAGGAGAAAAAUGUAUGGAGAUCAAUCAGUUAUUUAGACAAUGUUGAAGAGCAGCGUUUUCUUUCAUCUUAAAGAAGUUUUCCAGGUAAUGGAAUAUUAUAAUAAAGAAUAACUAUCUUUCCUAUUUUGUUCCCAGUAUCAAAGGAGUAGGAAAAUGGCAAAAGAGAAGACACAUGAAAUAAGAGACAAAUGGAAAAUGUUGAGAGAAUUUUGAGUAAAAUUAAGGUGGUAUUUGCUUUUUAAAAAACGACGUGAAAAAUUAUUGUAGAGUUAGAAGCAGACGUGUUGAUACAGAUAUUUUGUAGCUUCAGUUUCAUGCCCUUUUCAACAUUAAAAAAUAUAUAUCAGUAAUUUCAGUUAAUUGAGCAAUCAACAAGAAUUAGAGACUUGGAAAUGACAAACAAAUGAAGGAAGGAAAGCAUCCAGAAAAGAAGAUAAGUUUAAUGGACAUGAUUCAUUGCAAGAGACAUGACCUCAUUCCUUAUUAGAGGAAUUUCCACUAAACCAGAUUUGAUGUUAAAUAAGUUUAUUUUACAGACUUCCCUCAGAAUUAUACUAAUUUGCAAUGUCCUUUGUGUGUGUGUGUGUGGGGGGGGGGUAUUAUAAAGCGAAGAAAUACAAGGAAAAUUUUAAGACAUUGUUGCAGCUUCUUUAGAUGAUAGUUGUUCCAGGCUCCGCACCCUCCCCCAUCAUAAUAAAGGACUAAAAAAGCAGAAAUCAUCACCAUAAAGAUUCUAGCUUUUCCUGGAAGUGAAACAUGAAUAGUUAUGUGGAUGUCUGUGAGUGAAGCAAAUUUACUUUUGAUUAUUUAAACUUCUAGCAUUUAAAUUGAUAUUUAUAAUUAAACCGAUUUUACUUAAAGGCGAGUGAAUUAAAGAUUAAAAUUUAGAGAUUAAACUGAAAUUAAGAUGUUUGUACUGAACAGAAGCAGCAGGUAAUAUGAUAUAGUCUAUAAGGUGUGAGGUGUCUUGCCAAAUAAGUUUUAGACUUUUCCCGCAAGUCUUUUCCUUAGGAUUUUUGCUUUGGUAUUUGAUAUAUACCUAUAGAAUUAUCUAUAUAAUGUGAUAAUAUUGAUGGAAUACUUGGUACAUGCCAAACACCAUUCUAAGUGUCUUCUUUGAUCCUCGCAAAAACCCUAGGGAGCAAAUACAAUCAUUAUCUCCAUUUUAGAGACGUGGAAACUGAAGCUCUAGAGGUUGGAAACCUUGCCCAAAGUCAGAUAGUUGGUGAGUGCAGAGCUGGGAAUCCAGCCUAAAAUCCUGUCUGACUCUGCUCAGAGCCAUGUGGCUGUGUGUCCUCAACCACUCACUAAACAGACUUACUUAUUUCUAUGGAUAUGAUUAUUAAUCCACUUUUGAUCAGUUCUUUUUGACAGUUAUACAUUUAAAUAUUUUUGCAUUAGCCCUUCUGUUCAUUUGUAUUUUAGGUGACCAUGUGGAUACAAGAUUGCCAUAUGUAUUUAUUUUGCUACAGAAAGUCAAGCAGCCCUAUCAUUGUUUGAGAAACACCCCUCAAAUUUGCAUCUUUUUGUUUUUAGACAGACAUAUACAUGGACAGUAGCACAGGACUAAGUCCCCUCACCCUCUGCUUCUCUUUUUCUCUCUUUCAGAUGUGUUGCUUCAUAGGGCCCAGUUAAUACCUGCUGGCCGUGUUUACUGCAUAUAAUUGGUGUCGGUCUCAAAAAAGGUGCUGGUGUACUGUCAUUCCGUUAUCGGAGGAAUGUUCAUGUUACCCAGUCCUUCAGAAGAUGGAGAAGGGAGGAGAAACAAAGAAUGCAACACAGGAAUUUGGGGGGGUCGAUAGCAUAAAGCCGAGAUGAAAGGCUUAUGCCUUUAAGACUUUUUUUUCCCCUUUCUUCACUUUGUACCUUUGGCUGAGAUAUGGCACAUCCUUAACGACAACCAAAGGAUCAGCGUUAGGAUUUGAUGUCCCGGAGGCCCAGAGGGACAAAAGGGUUGUAUUCAGCUGUCCUCCCGCUCCCACCUGCUCUGCCGCCAGUACUUAGCGCGCUUUGUCCCUGGCCAACAAACGGUGCGCCAUCUCCGUGAAAUACUGGCAGGCGAUCCCUCCGUCUGUGUUUUCGGCAGUUAGAGAAGGGGCAGCACAAGCUUUUCCUCUGUGCCUCCCUGGUGUUUCUCGAGCUCUCGCAGAGACGUUUUCUGUAAUUGGUUUUCCACAUUUGCCAAGAGUCUGUUUCCUCUUAACAGUCAACAUGUUUAACAGAAGUCUUGUAAUAGUUCCAAAAAUAAUAA
This is a long non-coding RNA of Pteropus alecto (black flying fox), 3110 nucleotides long. RefSeq lists it as uncharacterized. Lineage: Eukaryota; Metazoa; Chordata; Mammalia; Chiroptera; Pteropodidae. The record is from RefSeq and is a predicted model, not a curated record. The transcript is spliced from 3 exons.